GGGGCAUUCUGUAUUAUUCCUGAAAACAAAAUCAGUAGUUUGGGGAAGGAAGAUCGCGGUAGGAAAAGUUGCACUGCCACCCCCACCACCAUGAAGCCCACUCCCACCGCCGAGGAGGUGGUCACCGCGGAAGUUUGCUGUUUAGUCUUCCGCUCCUGAGGGAGGAGGGGGCGCCGGGCACUGUUUAUGUGCAUGUCGCUUCAGAAGAAAAAAGUGCCCCAGUCCAGCCGGCCAGCCAAUUUUCCAUUUUGUCCACGUAACAUGGAA
Molecule: long non-coding RNA, 267 nt
Filed under: Fukomys damarensis (Damara mole-rat)
Lineage: Eukaryota; Metazoa; Chordata; Mammalia; Rodentia; Bathyergidae
Description: lncRNA (ENSFDAG00000023864.1)
Source: RNAcentral